CUCGGAGGGAUUACCUGACCUGCCAAAGAUCUUAACAGCCCACAGAGACUCUCAGCAGAACUGGACAUGCAGAGAUCCAAGCAUGGGAGAAGUAGAGGGUCUGCUGCUGGGAAGUGAACAGCAGGGACGGAUGAGUCUCUAAACAGAAGAAAUCUGAUUUUCCUGCAACAUCCCUGCGAAAUCAAAGCAUGUAAGAAUCGUUAAGACAGGAAAAUCCUGCUUCUGUCUUCAUCAGUCCAUUUUGGAAAAAUGACUUAAAUCUUGGCAACUAUAGAUAACUUUGUAUAUCCUAUGUGGAUUGCUUUAGAGGUCAAACAUACAGAAGGCAGCAUUUAA
Molecule: long non-coding RNA, 336 nt
Organism: Dama dama (fallow deer)
Lineage: Eukaryota; Metazoa; Chordata; Mammalia; Artiodactyla; Cervidae
Exons: 3
Source: RefSeq, a predicted model, not a curated record